This 597-nucleotide long non-coding RNA is filed under the name Panax ginseng (ginseng). RNAcentral's name for it is "long non-coding RNA (PGIN_LNC014017)". Lineage: Eukaryota; Viridiplantae; Streptophyta; Magnoliopsida; Apiales; Araliaceae. The record is from RNAcentral.
UAAAAGGUAUAAGUUAUGACAUCAGUAGAAAAUGGUACAAUAAUUUUCCCUAAAACUACAAAUUAUGACAUUACAUAUCAACAAAUACUAGAGCAGAAGAAAAAUAUUGGACACAUAACCAAGCACAAUCCCAACUUCAGCUCCCAGUUCUCAUCAUUGAGAGCAAGAAAGCAGUACUUUCAGAAAUUUCGACAGAAAGUCUUGUUUUCCGCCACUGGAACAAGAGGAUAGCACAAACACAUUACAAAGACUCUGGACUUGUGGAGGGUCUGAUUCUCGAGGGCAUCCGCACGCGUCCUUGUAACUCACUUCUGAACCUAUAAUUUUUGGGGGUAAUGGACAUCUUGUUCAAGGAAUAGGCAAACUCGUUGAGAGCAAGAUCAUCAAAACUCAUGGAAAUUCCAUCAUCUCUAGUGUUGACCCCAUUUUCACCAUCUUCGGCAAUAUCUUCAUCAAUGCUAACUUCACUGUGAUCAUCAUCUUCAUCGUCGUCAUCAUCAUAAGUUGUUCUCACCAUUGACCAGUAAACGAAGUUUGGAUGAAUGGAUCUUCAUAAUUUUAAAAGAAAGUUUUUAACGCUUUAGUUCUAGAUCCAAA